This 447-nucleotide ribosomal RNA is filed under the name uncultured bacterium. RNAcentral describes it as "bacterial SSU rRNA". It matches the Rfam family "Bacterial small subunit ribosomal RNA", at positions 355 to 825 of the family's 1533-position model. The record is from RNAcentral.
UCGGGAAUUUUGGGCAAUGGGCGAAAGCCUGACCCAGCAACGCCGCGUGAAGGAUGAAGUAUUUCGGUAUGUAAACUUCGAAAGAAUAGGAAGAAUAAAUGACGGUACUGUUUAUAAGGUCCGGCUAACUACGUGCCAGCAGCCGCGGUAAUACGUAGGGACCAAGCGUUGUUCGGAUUUACUGGGCGUAAAGGGCGCGUAGGCGGCAAUUCAAGUCAUCUGUGAAAUCUCCGGGCUUAACUCGGAACGGUCAGAUGAUACUGCUUUGCUAGAGUGCAGAAGGGGCAAUCGGAAUUCUUGGUGUAGCGGUGAAAUGCGUAGAUAUCAAGAGGAACACCUGAGGUGAAGACGGGUUGCUGGGCUGACACUGACGCUGAGGCGCGAAAGCCAGGGGAGCAAACGGGAUUAGAUACCCAAGUAGUCCCUGAGCGGGCUGGCAAGGCGCAU